RNAcentral lists this ribosomal RNA (367 nucleotides) under uncultured soil bacterium. RNAcentral describes it as "bacterial SSU rRNA". It matches the Rfam family "Bacterial small subunit ribosomal RNA", at positions 26 to 396 of the family's 1533-position model. The record is from RNAcentral.
AGAUUGAACGCUGGCGGCAUGCCUUACACAUGCAAGUCGAACGGCAGCACGGGAGCAAUCCUGGUGGCGAGUGGCGAACGGGUGAGUAAUAUAUCGGAACGUGCCCAGUCGUGGGGGAUAACGCAGCGAAAGCUGUGCUAAUACCGCAUACGAUCUAUGGAUGAAAGCGGGGGAUCGCAAGACCUCGCGCGAUUGGAGCGGCCGAUAUCAGAUUAGCUAGUUGGUGGGGUAAAAGCCUACCAAGGCGACGAUCUGUAGCUGGUCUGAGAGGACGACCAGCCACACUGGAACUGAGACACGGUCAGACUCCUACGGGAGCAGCAGUGGGGAAUUUGGACAAGUGGGCGCAAGCCUGACUCCAGCAAUG